CUGCUCUGACAGCUGAUGCUUGAAGUUAGAGAGGGAGAUAUAAGACUCCAGCUUCAGGGGUUUUUGCAAUUCGUGUUGGGAGGCUAUUUUAGCCAACGAGACCGUACAGGUCACAGUGGUGGGUAGUAUAUGGGGCUUUGGUGACAAAACGGAUGGCACUGUGAUAGACUGCAUCCAAUUUGUUGAGUAGAGUGUUGGAGGCUAUUUUGUAAAUGACAUCGCCGAAGUCAAGGAUCGGUAGGAUAGUUAGUUUUACGAGGGUAUGUUUGGCAGCAUGAGUGAAGGAUGCUUUGUUGGAAACCGAUUCUAGAUUUCAUUUUGGAUUGGAGAUGCUUAAUGUGAGUCUGGAAGGAGAGUUUACAGUCUAAACAGAUACCUAGGUAUUUGUAGUUGUCCACAUAUUCUAGGUCAGAACUGUCCAGAGUAGUGAUGCUAGUCGGGCGGGAGGGUGUAGGCAGCAAUCGGUUGAAGAGCAUGCACUUAGUUUUACUAACAUUUAAAAGCAGUUGGAGGCCAUGGAAGGAGUGUUGCAUGGCGUUGAAGCUCGUUUGGAGUAACGAAUGGGUUUGGCCAUUAGAUGGUGCUAUCAAACCGUUUCUCAACCUUACUCAUGAUGACGGCCUGUAAUGGGCGAGACAGACAUGCUAUCAGACAGAGUUACACAUCUACAGCUUCUCUUGAGGCAAGUGCAAGACCAACAGGUCACAUCCUGUGUCCGAUCCACUCUCCAUGAGCACCUUCCUCACCUGUCCAUCCACGUCUCUUCCUACUGAGGCCGAAAUGAAGAGUUGAGUCCCAGAUGAAGGUUUGAGUCCCAGAUGAAGGUUUGAGGCCCAGGUUUGAGGCCCAGAUGAAGGUUUGAGGCCCAGAUGAAGGGUUGAGGACCAGAUGAAGGUUUGAGGCCCAGAGGAAGGUUUGAGGCCCAGAUGAAGGUUUGAGGCCCAGAUGAAGGUUUGAGGCCCAGAUGAAGGCUUGAGGACCAGAUGAAGGGUUGAGCAGGGGGAAACAAUGUUCAGAUCCAGGGGGGAAACAAGUCAGCAGUCAGGUCACUUCUUGCCACCCCCAGUCGUAUUAUAGACCUAUAGCCUGUUCAGUUAGCCCAUUGGCAAUUAUUCCAUGUUUUAGAGUAUUUGCGAAUAUGUGUAGGUUUGCAGACAGGUUAUCCAAGGUUUGCAGACAGUGUAUCCAUGGUGCGUACCCUGACAGAAUGUUCCGUGCUAUCUGGGAUCCUUGGGACGUCCCUACCCUAACUGUUCUGUGCACAGACGCUGACAGAACAGUUGUUUUUUCUGUUAUCUGUGUUCCUCCUGAAUCAGUGUUGUGUUUAUGGAAGACGCUGAAUGUUCUAAUAGCUUGCCUCAGGCUGUUGAAUUAAAUAACCAUAUCAUUCUUCAGAUAACUCUGCUCUUACAUCACCACCAGCCAGCCAGACUGACUGAGAGCUGCAUCUGUUAGAGCAGGCUGCAGGAUUUCCCUCUCUCUAUCUCAACCCCCCUCUCCCUAUGCCUGGUUAUAUGAAAGGUUUCGACUCCUGCUGUGUUGACUAACUAACACUGAGGUUUCUGACUGAUCCAAGAAUAUAGAAUCCAUCAGAAUGUGCAGCAUCACACAACCAAUAGGAGUCACACAGCAUUGGGACCAACCUGAC
Molecule: long non-coding RNA, 1648 nt
Organism: Oncorhynchus tshawytscha (Chinook salmon)
Lineage: Eukaryota; Metazoa; Chordata; Actinopteri; Salmoniformes; Salmonidae
Source: Ensembl